UCGUGUAUUAACUGAAGUAUCUCUUAUUAACUUAUAGGAGCGAAGAAUCAUCACCGGUGGAGAAGGAAAAGAAAAAGAAAAAGACAAAAAUAUCACCAAAAAAGUAAGCACUUCUUUGGAUAAUAUUCUGUAAUAAAAUUAAUUUUUUAUUUCUGAUUGGUACUCUUUUUUUUCCACCCAGAACACAACCAAAAAAGAAAAAAGUUGUUGUGGAGGAUUCACCUCCUAAAGAAGAUCAAUACUUUGACGGUGAGACAUAUGAAAUAUCAAGUGACGAACUAGAUGAAUGGUUAAGGCAAAACGUUGAUAAAUCUGCUGCAGAGGGGGAGAACCAAGCUGACCUGCGAUAGACAGAAGGUCGCUAUGUGUCGUCUGAAAUGUAAGAAGCUUUAUUAUUUAAUAAAAUCUUGUUAUCAUGAUUUGGGUGUAUUUUGUGGAACCAUUUGGGUGUAUUUUGUGGAUCAAGUUGGGUGUAUGUUGUUUACUAAGUUGGGAUAUUUCGUUUGUUUUGUUGGGUGUAUAUUGUCCAUUCGGUUGGUUGUAUCUUGUGCAUUCAUUUGGGUGUAUUUUAUACCUGUAUCUU
Arachis ipaensis is the source of this 583-nucleotide non-coding RNA. Lineage: Eukaryota; Viridiplantae; Streptophyta; Magnoliopsida; Fabales; Fabaceae. The record is from RefSeq and is a predicted model, not a curated record.